Molecule: ribosomal RNA, 497 nt
Filed under: uncultured bacterium
Lineage: Bacteria
Description: partial 16S ribosomal RNA
Rfam family: Bacterial small subunit ribosomal RNA
Source: RNAcentral
GAUGAGCGCUGGCGGCGUGCCUAAUACAUGCAAGUCGAGCGAACAGACGAGGAGCUUGCUCCUCUGACGUUAGCGGCGGACGGGUGAGUAACACGUGGAUAACCUACCUAUAAGUCUGGGAUAACUUCGGGACACCGGAGCUAAUACCGGAUAAUAUAUUGAACCGCAUGGGUCAAUAGUGAAAGACGGUUUUGCUGUCAGGUAUAGAUGGAUCCGCGCCGCAUGGGCUAGUUGGUAAGGUAACGGCUUACCAAGGCGACGAUGCGUAGCCGAGCUGCGAGGGGGAUCGCCCACAUUGGAACUGAGACACGCUCCAGACUCCUACGGGAGGCAGCAGUAGGGAAUCGGCCGCAAUGGGCGAAAGCCUGACGGAGCAACGCCGCGUGAGUGAUGAAGGUCUUCGGAGCGGAAAACUCUGUUAUUAGUGAAGAACAAAUGUGUAAGUAACUAUGCACGUCUUGACGGUACCUAAUAAGAAAGCCACGGCUAACUACGUG